RNAcentral lists this ribosomal RNA (253 nucleotides) under uncultured bacterium. RNAcentral describes it as "partial 16S ribosomal RNA". It matches the Rfam family "Bacterial small subunit ribosomal RNA", at positions 524 to 776 of the family's 1533-position model. The record is from RNAcentral.
UACGUAGGGGGCAAGCGUUGUCCGGAUUUAUUGGGCGUAAAGCGCGUGUAGGCGGCCUGACAGGUCUGCUGUGAAAACUCGAGGCUCAACCUCGAGAGGUCGGUGGAAACCGUCUGGCUAGAGUCCGGAAGAGGAGAGUGGAAUUCCCGGUGUAGCGGUGAAAUGCGCAGAUAUCGGGAAGAACACCCGUGGCGAAGGCGGCUCUCUGGGACGGUACUGACGCUGAGACGCGAAAGCGUGGGGAGCGAACAGG